UUGGCUCAGCUGUUGGACAGGACAAGUUAAAAAAAAAAUAAAUACAAUAAAAAUAAAUAAUGAUAAUAAUAAUCUGUGUUGAAAUGUGACCAAAGUUGACAAGUACAUUUUUCAGGACCAUUUGCUACAUGGAUAACAAAUGUUUGUACCUCAUUAGGCUAAUCUUGAUAGAAUGGAUGAUGGAUUUAGUCUGAGCUUAUCUGUGGUUGUCAUGGCAGCACACCUUCCUCAUCCACCCAGUCUGUGGGGGAGCUGAUCAGGUGAUGAGUGACACCUGUUCACUUCCCUUUAUUAGGAGCUGCUGCUCUGCAGUUUGUCUCAAGCCUUCUUUGGGGGUGUCAGUGUUUCACCCAGGAUGCCAAACUAGCCGGAUCCACCUUUGAAGGUGAAAGAAGAGACUGCCUCCUUUCACGGGUUGCCACUGGGCUCCACUGCCAGUGCAGUGGUAGCUGGGAUCCCCAGUUGCACCGCAAAUUCGCGUGCAACUGGGUUGAAGUGGAAUUGAACGGAGUGCAUUGCUCCCUCCGCUUCCUACAGGGUUGAGAAGCUGGAACCCGCUACUGUUUUUUAUGUCUUGUUUUGUUCACCAAGACUGGCCACAGAUGCUCCUCGGGUCCUCCACAUCAACUCCACUGUGCCACCGGGUCAGCCGCUGAGCUGCAGCACCUCGCUCUCCUUCGUUCAGUGGAUCACAUUGGUGAUUCUGGGACCUUGUGUCCUGUUGGGACUUGUGUUCCUACGUGUUGCUGGAGCAGCUGAUGGACUCGUUUUUAACUCGAGAUUUUACUGAUCUGUGUUCCAAAAAGGGUCUGUUUGCCUCUUAAUUUGUUUUAUUGUUUCAGAGCUGCAGCAACAGGGACUUUCUCAAGUGGAUGUUUUUGUUGUUUUGUGUUCCCCUGAGUUUGAUUCUAUUUCUAUUGAUUGGGUUGUAUUUUUGAUUCUGCUUGAGUAACCAGGUCUCUGUUAGAGGUGGACUCUAGACCCCUUAUGGUUUUA
Molecule: long non-coding RNA, 996 nt
Organism: Oryzias melastigma (Indian medaka)
Lineage: Eukaryota; Metazoa; Chordata; Actinopteri; Beloniformes; Adrianichthyidae
Exons: 3
Source: RefSeq, a predicted model, not a curated record